GACGAACGCUGGCGGCGUGCUUAACACAUGCAAGUCGAACGGAAAGGCCUGCUUUCCCUUGUGGAUUGCGGGUACUCGAGUGGCGAACGGGUGAGUAACACGUGAGUGAUCUGCCCCCAACUUGGGUAUAAGCCUGGGAAACUGGGUCUAAUUCCCGAUAGGACUGCAGGGUGGUGCCUGUGGUGGAAAACGAUUUUCUAGUGGUUGGGGGUGAGCUCGCGGCCUAUCAGCUUGUUGGUGGGGUAAUGGCCUACCAAGGCGGCGACGGGUAGCCGGCCUGAGAGGGUGGACGGCCACAUUGGGACUGAGAUACGGCCCAGACUCCUACGGGAGGCAGCAGUGGGGAAUAGUGCACAAUGGGCGGAAGCCUGAUGCAGCGACGCCGCGUGGGGGAUGACGGCCUUCGGGUUGUAAACUCCUUUCGACCGCGAGGAAGCCACCUGGUUGGAAGGGUGGUGACGGUAGUGGUAGAAGAAGCACCGGCUAACUACGUG
RNAcentral lists this ribosomal RNA (494 nucleotides) under uncultured bacterium. RNAcentral describes it as "partial 16S ribosomal RNA". It matches the Rfam family "Bacterial small subunit ribosomal RNA", at positions 28 to 507 of the family's 1533-position model. The record is from RNAcentral.